Molecule: ribosomal RNA, 309 nt
Filed under: uncultured Anaerolineaceae bacterium
Lineage: Bacteria; Bacillati; Chloroflexota; Anaerolineae; Anaerolineales; Anaerolineaceae
Description: bacterial SSU rRNA
Rfam family: Bacterial small subunit ribosomal RNA
Source: RNAcentral
GUGUCGUGAGAUUGUUUCGGUUUAAGUCCGCUAACGAGCGCCAACCCUCGUCGUAUGUUAUAUGUGUCAUACGAGACUGCCGGUAAAAGCCGGAGGAAGGUGAGGAUGAUGUCAAGUCAGCAUGACCUUUAUAUCCAGGGCUACACACACGCUACAAUGGUCUGUACAAUGGGUAGCCAAGCCGCGAGGCGGAGCCAAUCCUGGAAGCAGGCCUCAGUUCAGAUUGCAGUCUGCAACUCGACUGCAUGAAGCCGGAGUUGCUAGUAACCGCAGGUCAGCAAUACUGCGGUGAAUACGUUCCCGGGUCUU